Paramormyrops kingsleyae is the source of this 837-nucleotide non-coding RNA. NCBI's taxonomy places the organism in Eukaryota, Metazoa, Chordata, Actinopteri, Osteoglossiformes, Mormyridae. The record is from RefSeq and is a predicted model, not a curated record.
CCUUUGUAUUUUCAUUUCCUGGAACUGGCUGUGUCAGUGUCACUUUUGUUGGAAACAAAGAAAGACAGGAGAUGCCUUUUCAUUCAGUAUGCAAAAGACCUACAGUACUGAAACAUUUUGUUGGCAAGUGUGAAGACUUCUGUGGUGGAACCUUUACUGUUUUCAACAUUCACAACCUUGUUCAUUUACCUGAGGAUGUAUCUUUAUUCAAGUGCUCUUUAAACGAUGUUUCAGCAUUUCCUGUAGUUCAGGUUGCCAAAAGACUGACUGAACUGGAGCAAGUUGGCAGAGCAACUGCUAACAAAAUUGGCAACUCUUAAUACUACAUUUCAGACAAAAUUAAGGAUGGCUGUUUUCUGUUGGAUGACACAUCUUGUGCAUUUGUGCACAGGAAGCAGGGAAAUGGUAUGUGAUGAGAUUAGGGAAGAGUACACCCAUGGUUUGUUUGUUUGAAGUCCCUUGUAGCUCAAAACUCCUCAAAAUUGUGUUUAUAAGUAAACGAAAUCUUCAAUGUUUUUCGAAAAGAAGAUGAUGGAUAUGCCGUGUUUCCAAUGCUACUUGGCUCUGAGGAAGUCUGAUUCAUGUAUCACAAGCAAGUACAUGAACGAUUAUGAACGACUAUCCAAUUCCGCCUGCAAGGCACAAGGCUGGUAGGAAAAAAAAAUGACUCAAGAGGUGGAUUCUUUAAUCUGUUCAACUCAAAGAUCAAGCACAUCUCAAGCAAAGCAGGGGAACAGUGAGUUAAUGUAUAUAAAUAUUUGUCGGCUUGUAGUUGAUUGCAUCCAGUGAUGUAAUAUUUAAUGCAUUGUAUUUAACAUUAAAGGUUUGUAUGUAAGA